Molecule: ribosomal RNA, 373 nt
Filed under: uncultured organism
Description: partial 16S ribosomal RNA
Rfam family: Bacterial small subunit ribosomal RNA
Source: RNAcentral
GAAGGGUGCAAGCGUUGUUCGGAUUUAUUGGGCGUAAAGCGCGCGCAGGCGGAUAAUCAAGUCAGAUGUGAAAUCUCGGGGCUCAACCUCGAAACUGCGUCUGAAACUGUUUAUCUAGAAUCUUGGAGAGGGAGGUGGAAUUUCGCAUGUAGGGGUAAAAUCCGUAGAGAUGCGAAGGAACAUCGGAGGCGAAGGCGACCUCCUGGACAAGUAUUGACGCUGAGGCGCGAAAGCGUGGGGAGCAAACAGGGAUUAGAUACCCUGGUAGUCCACGCCGUAAACGAUGAGAACUAGAUAUGGGGGGACUUUGACCUUUUCCGUAUCGUAGCUAACGCAUUAAGUUCUCCGCCUGGGGAGUACGGUCGCAAGACUA